Molecule: RNase P RNA, 407 nt
Filed under: Bifidobacteriaceae bacterium
Lineage: Bacteria; Bacillati; Actinomycetota; Actinomycetes; Bifidobacteriales; Bifidobacteriaceae
Description: RNase P RNA component class A
Rfam family: Bacterial RNase P class A
About the family: Ribonuclease P (RNase P) is a ubiquitous endoribonuclease, found in archaea, bacteria and eukarya as well as chloroplasts and mitochondria. Its best characterised activity is the generation of mature 5'-ends of tRNAs by cleaving the 5'-leader elements of precursor-tRNAs.
Source: RNAcentral
CCAGUUGGCCAGGCGGUCGCGGUUGGUUAUGCCGGAAAUGGUGUCAACCAAACGAGGAACGUCCGGGCUCCACAGGGCAGAACGGUGGGUAACACCCACCCAGGGUGACCUGCGGGAUAGUGCCACAGAAAACAAACCGCCGCACUUUGUUUCAAAUGUGCGGUAAGGGUGAAACGGUGGUGUAAGAGACCACCAGCGUUCAAGGUGACUUGAACGGCUUGGUAAACCCCGUUCGGAGCAAGGCCAAGCAGCAGGCGUUUGAGGGCGGCCCGCCCGAGCCUGCGGGUAGGCUGCUUGAGGCGCGCGGUAACGCGCGUUCUAGAUGGAUGGCCGCCGCCGGUUGCCCACCGAUCAGUUGUCGGUUGAGCAGCCUGGCACAGAACCCGGCGUAUCGGCCAACUGGUCCC